This 467-nucleotide ribosomal RNA is filed under the name uncultured bacterium. Its description in RNAcentral is "partial 16S ribosomal RNA". It matches the Rfam family "Bacterial small subunit ribosomal RNA", at positions 28 to 507 of the family's 1533-position model. The record is from RNAcentral.
GAUGAACGCUGGCGGCGUGCUUAACACAUGCAAGUCGAACGGAAAGGCCCAAGCUUGCUUGGGUACUCGAGUGGCGAACGGGUGAGUAACACGUGGGUGAUCUGCCCUGCACUUCGGGAUAAGCCUGGGAAACUGGGUCUAAUACCGGAUAGGACCACUUCUUGGAUGUUGUGGUGGAAAGUUUUUUCGGUGUGGGAUGAGCUCGCGGCCUAUCAGCUUGUUGGUGGGGUAAUGGCCUACCAAGGCGUCGACGGGUAGCCGGCCUGAGAGGGUGUACGGCCACAUUGGGGCUGAGAUACGGCCCAGACUCCUACGGGGGGCAGCAGUGGGGAAUAUUGCACAAUGGGCGCAAGCCUGAUGCAGCGACGCCGCGUGGGGGAUGACGGCCUUCGGGUUGUAAACUCCUUUCGCUAGGGACGAAGCGUUUUGUGACGGUACCUGGAGAAGAAGCACCGGCUAACUACGUG